CCUACGGGAGGCAGCAGUGAGGAAUAUUGGUCAAUGGACGAGAGUCUGAACCAGCCAAGUAGCGUGAAGGAUGACUGCCCUAUGGGUUGUAAACUUCUUUUAUAUGGGAAUAAAACGUUCCACGUGUGGGAUUUUGUAUGUACCAUAUGAAUAAGGAUCGGCUAACUCCGUGCCAGCAGCCGCGGUAAUACGGAGGAUCCGAGCGUUAUCCGGAUUUAUUGGGUUUAAAGGGAGCGUAGGUGGAUUGUUAAGUCAGUUGUGAAAGUUUGCGGCUCAACCGUAAAAUUGCAGUUGAAACUGGCAGUCUUGAGUACAGUAGAGGGGGGCGGAAUUCGUGGUGUAGCGGUGAAAUGCUUAGAUAUCACGAAGAACUCCGAUUGCGAAGGCAGUUCACUGGACUGCAACUGACACUGAGGCUCGAAAGUGUGGGUAUCAAACAGGAUUAGAUACCCGAGUAGUC
This 460-nucleotide ribosomal RNA is filed under the name uncultured bacterium. RNAcentral's name for it is "partial 16S ribosomal RNA". It matches the Rfam family "Bacterial small subunit ribosomal RNA", at positions 338 to 795 of the family's 1533-position model. The record is from RNAcentral.